UCCAGACUCCUACGGGAGGCAGCAGUGGGGAAUUUUGGACAAUGGGCGCAAGCCUGAUCCAGCUAUUCCGCGUGUGGGAUGACGGCCCUCGGGUUGUAAACCACUUUAGUAGAGAACGAAAAGGAGCUAUCGAAUAAAUAGCUCUGCUGACGGUACUCUAAGAAUAAGCACCGGCUAACUCCGUGCCAGCAGCCGCGGUAAUACGGAGGAUGCGAGCGUUAUCCGGAUUUAUUGGGUUUAAAGGGUGCGCAGGCGGCACGGCAAGCCGGCGGUCAAAUCGCGGGGCUCAACCCCGCCCAGCCGUCGGAACUGCCGGGCUAGAGUGGGCGAGAAGUGCGCGGAAUGCGUGGUGUAGCGGUGAAAUGCAUAGAUAUCACGCAGAACUCCGAUUGCGAAGGCAGCGCACCGGCGCCCUACUGACGCUCAGGCACGAAAGCGUGGGUAUCGAACAGGAUUAGAUACCCCGGUAC
RNAcentral lists this ribosomal RNA (470 nucleotides) under uncultured bacterium. Its description in RNAcentral is "bacterial SSU rRNA". It matches the Rfam family "Bacterial small subunit ribosomal RNA", at positions 330 to 793 of the family's 1533-position model. The record is from RNAcentral.